RNAcentral lists this ribosomal RNA (792 nucleotides) under uncultured archaeon. RNAcentral's name for it is "bacterial SSU rRNA". It matches the Rfam family "Archaeal small subunit ribosomal RNA", at positions 85 to 879 of the family's 1478-position model. The record is from RNAcentral.
ACUGCUCAGUAACACGUGCAUAACCUGCCCUUGGGUCUGGCAUAACCCCGGGAAACUGGGGAUAAUUCCGGAUAACGCAUAUAUGCUGGAAUGCUUUAUGYGUAAAAUGGAUUCGUCCGCCCAAGGAUGGGUCUGCGGCCUAUCAGGUAGUAGUGGGUGUAAUGUACCUACUAGCCUACAACGGGUACGGGUUGUGAGAGCAAGAGCCCGGAGAUGGAUUCUGAGACAUGAAUCCAGGCCCUACGGGUUGCAGCAGGCGCGAAAACUUUACCAUGCGGGCAACCGUGAUAAGGAAACCCCGAGUGCCAGCACAGGCUGGCUGUCUGCCAGUUUAAAUAACUGGUGAAGAAAGGGCCGGGCAAGACCGGUGCCAGCCGCCGCGGUAAUACCGGCGGCUCGAGUGGUGGCCGCUAUUACUGGGCUUAAAGGGUCCGUAGCUUGAUAACUGGGUCCCUUGAGAAAUCCGCCAGCUUAACUGGCGGGCGUUCAGGGGAAACUUGUUUUCUAGGGACCGGGAGAGGUGAGGGGUACUGCCGGGGUAGGAGUGAAAUCCUGUAAUCCCGGUGGGACCACCUAUGGCGAAGGCAUCUCACCAGAACGGGUCCGACAGUGAGGGACGAAAGCUGGGGGAGCAAACCGGAUUAGAUACCCGGGUAGUCCCAGCUGUAAACUAUGUGCGUUAGGUGUGUCAGUGACCACGUGUCACUGAGGUGCCGAAGGGAAACCGUGAAACGCACCGCCUCGGGAGUACGGUCGCAAGGCUGAAACUUAAAGGAAUUGGCGGGGGAGCAC